Molecule: ribosomal RNA, 557 nt
Filed under: Amanita sp. CQC-2022a
Lineage: Eukaryota; Fungi; Basidiomycota; Agaricomycetes; Agaricales; Amanitaceae
Description: partial large subunit ribosomal RNA
Rfam family: Eukaryotic large subunit ribosomal RNA
Source: RNAcentral
AGCAUAUCAAUAAGCGGAGGAAAAGAAACUAACAAGGAUUCCCUUAGUAACUGCGAGUGAAGAGGGAAAAGCUCAAAUUUAAAAUCUGGCAGUGUUUCACUGUCCGAGUUGUAACCUAGAGAAGUGUAACCUGCGCUGGACCGUGUAUAAGUCUCCUGGAAUGGAGCAUCACAGAGGGUGAGAAUCCCGUCUUUGACAUGGACCACCAGUGUAUUGUGGUUGUGCUCUCAACGAGUCGAGUUGUUUGGGAAUGCAGCUCUAAAUGGGUGGUAAAUUCCAUCUAAAGCUAAAUAUUGGCGAGAGACCGAUAGCGAACAAGUACCGUGAGGGAAAGAUGAAAAGAACUUUGGAAAGAGAGUUAAACAGUAUGUGAAAUUGUUGAAAGGGAAACGUUUGAAGUCAGUCGCGUUGGUUGGGGAUCAGCCUGACAUUGUUGGGUUUACUUCCUGGUCGACGGGCCAACAUCAGUUUUGACUGCCAGAAAAAGGCCAAAGGAAUGUGGCACCCUUUGGGUGUGUUAUAGCCAUUGGUCGUAUAUGGUGGUUGGGACUGAGGAA